AUUGAACGCUGGCGGCAGGCCUAACACAUGCAAGUCGAACGGUAACAGAAAGCAGCUUGCUGCUUUGCUGACGAGUGGCGGACGGGUGAGCAAUGUCUGGGAAACUGCCUGAUGGAGGGGGAUAACUACUGGAAACGGUAGCUAAUACCGCAUAACGUCGCAAGACCAAAGAGGGGGACCUUCGUGCCUCUUGCCAUCGGAUGUGCCCAGAUGGGAUUAGCUAGUAGGUGGGGGAAAGGCUCACCUAGGCGACGAUCCCUAGCUGGUCUGAGAGGAUGACCAGCCACACUGGAACUGAGACACGGUACAGACUCCUAGGGGAGGCAGCGGUGGGGAAUAUUGCACAAUGGGCGCAAGCCUGAUGCAGCAAUGCCGCGUGUAUGAAGAAGGCCUUCGGGUUGUAAAGUACUUUCAGCGGGGAGGAAGGAAGUAAAGUUAAUCCCUUUGCUCAUUGACGUUACCCGCAGAAGAAGCACCGGCUAACUCCGUG
RNAcentral lists this ribosomal RNA (490 nucleotides) under uncultured bacterium. Its description in RNAcentral is "partial 16S ribosomal RNA". It matches the Rfam family "Bacterial small subunit ribosomal RNA", at positions 30 to 507 of the family's 1533-position model. The record is from RNAcentral.